Molecule: ribosomal RNA, 253 nt
Filed under: uncultured bacterium
Lineage: Bacteria
Description: partial 16S ribosomal RNA
Rfam family: Bacterial small subunit ribosomal RNA
Source: RNAcentral
UACGAAGGGGGCUAGCGUUGCUCGGAAUCACUGGGCGUAAAGGGUGCGUAGGCGGGCCUUUAAGUCAGGGGUGAAAUCCUGGAGCUCAACUCCAGAAUUGCCUUUGAUACUGAAGAUCUUGAGUUCGGGAGAGGUGAGUGGAACUGCGAGUGUAGAGGUGAAAUUCGUAGAUAUUCGCAAGAACACCAGUGGCGAAGGCGGCUCACUGGCCCGAUACUGACGCUGAGGCACGAAAGCGUGGGGAGCAAACAGG